CUCCAUCAGUAUUUAGACAUGGCCAUAAGCAAAGUGGAAGUUCUCUCCUCCCUUCAGAGAAAAGUACAUCCUUCUUCGAUGGUCUCUUUUUCCACUGGAGUCUCACUCACAGAGAUUCUUCAUGUAGGAUUUUUUUUUGCCAUAAUGUCUUGGCUUUCCAUGCCUGAAAUGCUCUCCUGGGCUUUUCAGCCACAUCCAAAUGCCUUAAGGGAUGAUUCUGAGCUUAGCCAUGGGGUCCCCUGGGGACAGAGAUUGUGUCAUGUUCAACUUUCAGAUGUUUUCUUCUCCCACCCUUUGGAGCAAAGAUUUCUCUAGCACUCAGCCCUGUACGUGGAGAACGUUGGUGGACUGAAUUCGUGAGUCGGCAAGGAUCACUCUUUCCUGGGAGGAAAUGUUUGCAGCCUGGGUCUCCUGGCCUUUUUCCAACCCGAGGACCACCUGCCUCCCUACCCUGACCUUGAACGUGAUCCUGUGUGGCCUCUCACAGCUGCUGCACCCACCCCACCUCAGCUGCGGACCUUGAGCUACAAAGCGACACCCUGGAACAAAAGUGUUUGCAUCCCUACACUCAGAUAUAACUUAUGUGAAUACCAAGUGGCAGUGUCCAGACUACUGUGAGAUCCCAGUGAGGAGGAUGGUGGCCAGAUUCAGCAGGUCUGGACAUGAAGGCAUCCACAGCGGAUAAGAGAAACCUUGAUAACUGCUCCCCAAGUAACUCACCUGACUUAUUGGAGAGGUGCUUGCAGAGGCAAGGCUGCAGUACAGAGUCCAUUACUUCUGUUAUGCUGCUGACUGGGAAGAAACAAGGACAGAAGACUUGGACAAUAACUCUCCAUUCCCUUGAGCCUGUGGGGUUUCUGAUGAGAAAACUUCUAUCAAUCUAAUUGGAGAAUGUUUAAAGUAACAGCACUGUAGCUGUGUUCCUGCUCACCUGCUAAAAAAUCAUGUUAUCUGAUUCCUGGUGAAGGUAACAAUGCUAGUUCAUAACAAACACAGACACUUUUUCCUGAAGAUGGAAUUGUAGUUGUCAUUGUUCUUAAAUGAUCACAGGAGGGGAGUGCUGCACUUUUAUGUGAAUGAGAAAUAAAGAUCUAUCUUGUUAAAGCCAUUGAAUUUUGGAGACUCUUUUUAAAUCGCAGUUCUUAUCACCUUAAUGUAAACAUUACGGAAAGUUUCACAAACAUAAACAACUGAAAUAUUGCCAGCUAUUAUUAUCAAUUUUAUUCUAGUAUUAAUUAUUCUCACAUUCAGUCCAGAAGUUAAUGUAAAAUAAAUGAAACUAGGAGGCUCAAUGGAGGAUAUGGACAUUUUUUCCUAGCUAUUUCAGUUACUGAUUUGAAAUCUUAUUUCUAGUAGUUAUAUUUUAUCUGCUUUGUCAACCUAGUGAUAAGGCAAAACUGAAAAUAACAAAAACCCUUAAAAGUAGAAUUCAGAAUAAAAUAUAUAUGAGAAGGGAAGCCAUUCUAGCUUUCCACAGAUGGAGGAUCCUAUGAAUUCCAAUUUAAGGGAACUGGAGAAGAAUGAUUAGCUUGCACUUCUAUGCAAUCCGUGACAGGUAUACAUUCUGGAAAACACGGGAUUUCCAGGGACUAUUUCAGAAAAACAUGUGAGCUGUUUUGAUUGCUGCAUGUAUGAUCGGAAACAGGAUAUGAAGAAGGGUUCUCUGUUACCUUUUAAAACUAUGGGUUCCUCUAUCUGUGUUCCUCUAUGCUCAUAUCCUAUCAGCUUUUCUCAUUAUUCUACCCCAAAAUGACCUAAAUGAAACUAGUAAGAUUCAGAGAAAGGGAGAAAAAUGCUUGGAACCUCCACAAAAGGACAAGUUGGGUCACGGUCUCGGAGGGCAGGGCUCUCUUUGUUUUUCCUCUUUCCUUCAUGGACACCACCUUGUAUGGUUCCAACAAACCCUGCAUGUACAGGAAAACCUGCAUCUCAUUUCUGCUGAAAUAUGUUUUCAAUUUAGGAUUUGAGUUUCCAGAUUGACUUGUGAACAUCUAAAGAACUCAAUGUCACCAUGACAUAAUGUUCCCCAAAGGCCAGUUGCCCAUCAGCAAAGAAAUGGGCAGUGAUUAGCUGGCUGUCAGUGGUCAAAGGUGCUGAAGUGACUGCGGAAACUGACGUGGGAAAAAG
Molecule: non-coding RNA, 2127 nt
Organism: Oryctolagus cuniculus (rabbit)
Lineage: Eukaryota; Metazoa; Chordata; Mammalia; Lagomorpha; Leporidae
Source: RefSeq, a predicted model, not a curated record